AACUUUACUCCCUAUACAAAAUUUCCAAGAAUAAAACUGAAGUAUGAAGUUCAUCAUUGGGAGUCUCUGUAUAAUGGCUGUGGGUUCCAUUUGAGAUGCAAGUUCAGUUUCCCUGAUUUAGACUCGGAUAAUUCAAAGGUGUCUUUAUAUUCACCUUCCAUUAGAACCCUUGUUAAAGUCAGUAUGCAUUUUCCCAUGAAAUCCUGUGAAGAAGUUGUAAGAAUUGGAAAUGAAUCAAUAUAACAGUCAAGAAAUAAGACACAAAAAUGGUACCCUCCGAAGGUCUCUUUAUAUUCACCUUCCAUUAGAACCCUUGUUAAAGUCAGUAUGCAUUUUCCCAUGAAAUCCUGUACCAACAGAAAAAGUUGAAAAGUUUGGAAAUGAAUCAAUAUAAUGGUCAAGAAAUAAGAUACAACAAUGGUAGUCUCCAAAAUUAAGCCUCCUCGCACCCUUCAAAUCAUAAGGAAAAUAAAGUAAAGGGAAGAGCCCUCAAAAACAUCAUCCUCUCACUAUCGUUCUCUUCGGUUUUCACUGUUUCUUGCUAUUGUUAUUGCUUGUUGCUGCCGCUUUAUUUUAUCUUUUCUAAGCCGAAGGUCUAUUGGAAACAGUCUCUCUACCUUCCCAACGUAGGGGUAAGGUAUGCGUACACACUACCCUCCCCAGACCCCACUUGUGGAAUCCCACCGGGUUUGUUGUUGUUGUUGUUCCUUUGUGAAACAUCUUUUACAGUUAAUAUUUACCGUAACCUUAAAGUUCUAAGAAGUUCACAUGCUAAGGGAGAUAGUACUAACUAAUGACUACUUAUCGAAGCACUGAUCAAAAGUACUCAUGUAAUAAGUUAACUUCGGCUAAAGAAAACAUCACAUCAACAAAAGUUGGUAUCCAAAGAUGUUCAACAAGUGGUUAAUGAUAUUUUGAGCGAGG
This 924-nucleotide long non-coding RNA is filed under the name Nicotiana benthamiana. RNAcentral describes it as "long non-coding RNA (NBEN_LNC024268)". Lineage: Eukaryota; Viridiplantae; Streptophyta; Magnoliopsida; Solanales; Solanaceae. The record is from RNAcentral.